GUGAGUCGUUGUAGCAAUACAAGGUUAUACGGCUCAGUAACACGUAGUCAAUCUAACCUAUGGACGGGGAUAACCUCGGGAAACUGAGGAUAAACCCCGAUAGAUCAUAAUGCCUGGAACGGUUUAUGGUUCAAAUGAUUCGUCGCCGUAGGGUGGGACUGCGGCCUAUCAGCUUGUUGGUGAGGUAAUGGCCCACCAAGGCUAUUACAGGUACGGGCUCUGAGAGGAGUAGCCCGGAGAUGGGUACUGAGACACGGACCCAGGCCCUAUGGGGCGCAGCAGGCGAGAAACCUUUGCAAUGUGCGCAAGCACGACAAGGUUAAUCCGAGUGAUUCCUGUUAAAGGAAUCUUUUGUUAGUCGUAAAAUCACUAUUGAAUAAGGGGUGGGCAAGUUCUGGUGUCAGCCGCCGCGGUAAAACCAGCACCUCAAGUGGUCAGGAUGAUUAUUGGGCCUAAAGCAUCCGUAGCCCGUUCUGAAAGUUUCCGGUUAAAUCCAUUAACUCAACUAAUGGGCUGCCGAAAAUACUGCAGAACUAGGGAGUGGGAGAGGUAGACGGUACUCGGUAGGAAGGGGUAAAAUCCUUUGAUCUAUUGAUGACCACCUGUGGCGAAGGCGGUCUACCAGAACACGUUCGACGGUGAGGGAUGAAAGCUGGGGGAGCAAACCGGAUUAGAUACCCGGGUAGUCCCAGCUGUAAACGAUGCAAACUCGGUGAUGCGCUGGCUUGUGGCCAGUGCAGUGCCGC
RNAcentral lists this ribosomal RNA (746 nucleotides) under uncultured archaeon. Its description in RNAcentral is "bacterial SSU rRNA". It matches the Rfam family "Archaeal small subunit ribosomal RNA", at positions 53 to 804 of the family's 1478-position model. The record is from RNAcentral.